AUUGAACGCUGGCGGCAGGCCUAACACAUGCAAGUCGAACGGUAACAGGAAGCAGCUUGCUGCUUCGCUGACGAGUGGCGGACGGGUGAGUAAUGUCUGGGAAGCUGCCUGAUGGAGGGGGAUAACUACUGGAAACGGUAGCUAAUACCGCAUAAUGUCGCAGGACCAAAGAGGGGGACCUUCGGGCCUCUUGCCAUCGGAUGUGCCCAGAUGGGAUUAGCUUGUUGGUGGGGUAACGGCUCACCAAGGCGACGAUCCCUAGCUGGUCUGAGAGGAUGACCAGCCACACUGGAACUGAGACACGGUCCAGACUCCUACGGGAGGCAGCAGUGGGGAAUAUUGCACAAUGGGCGCAAGCCUGAUGCAGCCAUGCCGCGUGUAUGAAGAAGGCCUUCGGGUUGUAAAGUACUUUCAGCGGGGAGGAAGGGAGUAAAGUUAAUACCUUUGCUAAUUGACGUUACCCGCAGAAGAAGCACCGGCUAACUCCGUG
Molecule: ribosomal RNA, 490 nt
Filed under: uncultured bacterium
Lineage: Bacteria
Description: partial 16S ribosomal RNA
Rfam family: Bacterial small subunit ribosomal RNA
Source: RNAcentral